UUGUGCGCGUCGAAGAGCAGGAUGAUGAGGUCCACGCGCUCCGCGAACCAGCGCAGCACCGCCGGGAAGUCGUAGCCUGGGGGUACGGAGCACAAUCGGCGCGAAGGGCAGAGGCCGAUCCAGACGUAUAGGUUGUCAAAAUACUGAAGUGUUUCUUAACAGACUCUCUGUGCUUCUAUGACCACCCCCCCGCCAGUCUCCCAAGUGCCACCAUCACCCCAGCCCCGUCCUCGGACUUCUGGAUCUCCCCACAAUCCAGCCACCAAAGAGUUCACGUUGGCUCUGGCUAUGCUUUUGCCAGAACAGAUGGUAAAUAUUUUGAGUUUAUUUAACAGUA
Long non-coding RNA from Herpailurus yagouaroundi (jaguarundi), 337 nucleotides. RefSeq lists it as uncharacterized. The transcript is spliced from 2 exons. Lineage: Eukaryota; Metazoa; Chordata; Mammalia; Carnivora; Felidae. The record is from RefSeq and is a predicted model, not a curated record.